This 465-nucleotide ribosomal RNA is filed under the name uncultured bacterium. RNAcentral describes it as "partial 16S ribosomal RNA". It matches the Rfam family "Bacterial small subunit ribosomal RNA", at positions 28 to 507 of the family's 1533-position model. The record is from RNAcentral.
GACGAACGCUGGCGGCGUGCUUAACACAUGCAAGUCGAACGGAAAGGCCCCCUUGUGGGGUACUCGAGUGGCGAACGGGUGAGUAACACGUGAGUAACCUACCCUUGACUUUGGGAUAACUUCAGGAAACUGGGGCUAAUACCGGAUAGGAGCUCCUGCUGCAUGGUGGGGGUUGGAAAGUUUUGGCGGUUGGGGAUGGACUCGCGGCUUAUCAGCUUGUUGGUGGGGUAGUGGCUCACCAAGGCUUUGACGGGUAGCCGGCCUGAGAGGGUGACCGGCCACAUUGGGACUGAGAUACGGCCCAGACUCCUACGUGAGGCAGCAGUGGGGAAUAUUGCACAAUGGGCGGAAGCCUGAUGCAGCAACGCCGCGUGCGGGAUGACGGCCUUCGGGUUGUAAACCGCUUUCGCCUGUGACGAAGCGUGAGUGACGGUAAUGGGUAAAGAAGCACCGGCUAACUACGUG